GGCGAGGUGGCCAAGUGGUAAGGCAGAGGUCUGCAAAAUCUCCAUCGCGGGUUCGAUUCCCGCCCUCGCCUCCA
RNAcentral lists this transfer RNA (74 nucleotides) under bacterium. Its description in RNAcentral is "tRNA-Cys". It matches the Rfam family "tRNA". Rfam says of the family: Transfer RNA (tRNA) molecules are approximately 80 nucleotides in length. Their secondary structure includes four short double-helical elements and three loops (D, anti-codon, and T loops). Further hydrogen bonds mediate the characteristic L-shaped molecular structure. tRNAs have two regions of fundamental functional importance: the anti-codon, which is responsible for specific mRNA codon recognition, and the 3' end, to which the tRNAs corresponding amino acid is attached (by aminoacyl-tRNA synthetases). tRNAs cope with the degeneracy of the genetic code in two manners: having more than one tRNA (with a specific anti-codon) for a particular amino acid; and 'wobble' base-pairing, i.e. permitting non-standard base-pairing at the 3rd anti-codon position. RNAcentral also lists the same sequence under 1 other name. The record is from RNAcentral.